Molecule: ribosomal RNA, 245 nt
Filed under: uncultured Lactobacillus sp.
Lineage: Bacteria; Bacillati; Bacillota; Bacilli; Lactobacillales; Lactobacillaceae
Description: partial 16S ribosomal RNA
Rfam family: Bacterial small subunit ribosomal RNA
Source: RNAcentral
CGUGGGUAACCUGCCCAAGAGAUCGGGAUAACACCUGAAACAGAUGCUAAUACCGGAUAACAACAGAUGAUGCCUAUCAACUGUUUAAAAGAUGGUUCUGCUAUCACUCUUGGAUGGACCUGCGGUGCAUUAGCUAGUUGGUAGGGUAACGGCCUACCAAGGCGAUGAUGCAUAGCCGAGUUGAGAGACUGAUCGGCCACAUUGGGACUGAGACACGGCCCAAACUCCUACGGGAGGCAGCAGCC